This 427-nucleotide ribosomal RNA is filed under the name uncultured bacterium. RNAcentral describes it as "partial 16S ribosomal RNA". It matches the Rfam family "Bacterial small subunit ribosomal RNA", at positions 355 to 774 of the family's 1533-position model. The record is from RNAcentral.
UGGGGAAUAUUGCACAAUGGGCGCAAGCCUGAUGCAGCCAUGCCGCGUGUAUGAAGAAGGCCUUCGGGUUGUAAAGUACUUUCAGCGGGGAGGAAGGUGUUGAGGCUAAUAACCUCAGCAAUUGACGUUACCCGCAGAAGAAGCACCGGCUAACUCCGUGCCAGCAGCCGCGGUAAUACGGAGGGUGCAAGCGUUAAUCGGAAUUACUGGGCGUAAAGCGCACGCAGGCGGUCUGUCAAGUCGGAUGUGAAAUCCCCGGGCUCAACCUGGGAACUGCAUUCGAAACUGGCAGGCUAGAGUCUUGUAGAGGGGGGUAGAAUUCCAGGUGUAGCGGUGAAAUGCGUAGAGAUCUGGAGGAAUACCGGUGGCGAAGGCGGCCCCCUGGACAAAGGCUGACGCUCAGGUGCGAAAGCGUGGGGAGCAAACA